RNAcentral lists this ribosomal RNA (239 nucleotides) under uncultured bacterium. RNAcentral's name for it is "partial 16S ribosomal RNA". It matches the Rfam family "Bacterial small subunit ribosomal RNA", at positions 116 to 354 of the family's 1533-position model. The record is from RNAcentral.
CGUGAGCAAUCUGCCUUGGAGUGGGGAAUAACGGCUGGAAACAGCCGCUAAUACCGCAUGACGCGUCUGGGAGGCAUCUCUCUGGACGCCAAAGAUUUAUCGCUCUGAGAUGAGCUCGCGUCUGAUUAGCUGGUUGGCGGGGUAACGGCCCACCAAGGCGACGAUCAGUAGCCGGACUGAGAGGUUGGCCGGCCACAUUGGGACUGAGACACGGCCCAGACUCCUACGGAAGGCAGCAG